GAUGAACGCUGGCGGCGUGCCUAAUACAUGCAAGUCGAGCGAACAGAUGAUGAGCUUGCUCCUCUGACGUUAGCGGCGGACGGGUGAGUAACACGUGGAUAACCUACCUAUAAGACUGGGAUAACUUCGGGAAACCGGAGCUAAUACCGGAUAAUAUAUUGAACCGCAUGGUGCAAUAGUGAAAUACGGCUUUUCUGUCACUUAUCGAUGGAUCCGCGCCGCAUUAGAUAGUUGGUACGGUAACGGCUUACCAAGGCAACGAUGCGUAGCCGACCUGAGAGGGUGAUCGGCCACACUGGAACUGAGACACGGUCCAGACUCCUACGGGAGGCAGCAGUAGGGAAUCUGCCGCAAUGGGCGAAAGCCUGACGGAGCAACGCCGCGUGAGUGAUGAAGGUCUUCGGAGCGUAAAACUCUGUUAUUGGGGAAGAACAAAUGUGUAAGUAACUAUGCACGUCGUGACGGUACCUAAUCAGAAAGCCACGGCUAACUACGUG
This 497-nucleotide ribosomal RNA is filed under the name uncultured bacterium. RNAcentral's name for it is "partial 16S ribosomal RNA". It matches the Rfam family "Bacterial small subunit ribosomal RNA", at positions 28 to 507 of the family's 1533-position model. The record is from RNAcentral.